This is a long non-coding RNA of Lycium ferocissimum, 1116 nucleotides long. RefSeq lists it as uncharacterized. Lineage: Eukaryota; Viridiplantae; Streptophyta; Magnoliopsida; Solanales; Solanaceae. The record is from RefSeq and is a predicted model, not a curated record. The transcript is spliced from 3 exons.
GUGUCCCACCAUCCCACUCUUUUAGCACAGCGGUUCCCUUCCGCACUUCCAUUCACCAUCUUCUCUCCUUUCAGAAUUAAUUUAUUUUGUGGAUUUCUGCAAAAGUUGUUCCCUUCGUCUAAUUUGUCUGGUUUGAGCUCCCAGUUGUCGGUAACCCCAAUUUGGAUUUAUAUCAUUCACUCAAUUUUUCACCGGACUGAGCUUCUUUAAAAUAUGGGAUUCGAUAAAUGUAUCUUGAUGAUACGCAAUGAAGGAUUAAGGGAGAUGGUAAGGAAGGCUUCCUUGCAAGUGAAAAAUAAUACCAAGAUUCCCCAAUGAAGAUUAUGUGGAAAAGGGGUUUUACUCGGUUUGUUCUUGUCAGCUGAUUUAUUUGGGGUAUGCUCAUUCUAAUCGCUUUUGUUAUUUCAUGCUUGGUCUUGCCAGUCAUCUAUUGUUUUCUCUUUAGUUAACUAUUUCACAUGUACUUUCUUUUGUUUCCUUUGCUAUAUUUAUGGAAACAUUCUCAUUUGCUUUGCUUCGAGUUACUUUGGUGGAUGAGGGGUUUGUGGUAAUGAACAAUGUGAUUAAUCAUUGGCUGAUUGGUAAACCUAGCAUAUUUAGCAUGUGAACUCUAAACACAAAUUAAACGCUACCCUAUUUUACAAGUUCCAUGCCUUUAUAGUUAAUGAAACCAUGGCGUAUUUGAAGCUGGAAGUCGUAUGUCUGAUUAUUAUUGCCAAUUUUUGUUUCAGAAAUUAAUUAGAUACCCAUACUUUUUACGUUUCAAGACGGGAUUCUGCAUUUAUCUUCCUUUCUUGAUAUGGAGCCCUUAGUAACAAAAGCAGUAAAAUAUAUGAAAAGACAAGUUAUGGAAAAUAUGGAGCAAUAUAUGAACUUUCUAGAGGAGAUAGGGGGUUUAUAGUUUCCCUGGUAUGGCAGGGGCUGUUUUUGUUGUAAUUCUGUACCAUCUAGGUACCUUUUAAUAAAAUUUACCUUAUCAAAAAAUUAUGAAGUAGUACAUAGAAUUGGGCUUGUAUUAAUGGAUCUCAGUCACCACUUCCGUUGAGAGGACAUAUGGCAACAAAAAGAUUAGAGCUUUAAAGGUUAACAUGCCGCCUUAUCUAACUUAAUUUGAGA